GAUGAACGCUGACAGAAUGCUUAACACAUGCAAGUCUUUGGCGAAGCUGUGCUCGCACAGCCUAGCCAAGGCGGACGGGUGAGUAACGCGUAAGGAACUUGCCCUGCAGUCAGGGAUAACAGACGGAAACGACUGAUAAGACCUGGUAAAGUCAGGCGGACUCAUGUCCAGCCUGAUGAAAAGAGAUGCUGCAGGAGAGCCUUGCGUCCUAUUAGCUUGUUGGUGGGGUAACGGCCCACCAAGGCGAUGAUAGGUAGCCGGCCUGAGAGGGUGGACGGCCACACGGGGACUGGGAUACGGCCCUUACUCCUACGGGAGGCAGCAGUGGGGAAUAUUGGACAAUGGGGGCAACCCUGAUCCAGCAUUUCUGUGUGCACGAUGAAGGUUUUCGGAUUGUAAAGUGCUUUCAGCAGGGAAGAAAAAAAUGACGGUACCUGCAGAAGAAGCGACGGCUAAUUACGU
RNAcentral lists this ribosomal RNA (462 nucleotides) under uncultured bacterium. Its description in RNAcentral is "partial 16S ribosomal RNA". It matches the Rfam family "Bacterial small subunit ribosomal RNA", at positions 28 to 506 of the family's 1533-position model. The record is from RNAcentral.